AGGCGUCUAUACCUUAUAUUGCCGAGAUCCGGGUGUUCCCUCUCCCCAUGAUCUAAAGCUUGCUGGAAACUUGUCACCCUAGUUAACAGGAGUUUUCGGCUCAGCGCGUGUGCUCUGCCGAGAGAGGAAAAGAGGAGGGAUUUGACUGCACGUAGGGCUGCACUGCUCUCCAGAACAGAGCACGGGCAUGGCGAGGUUGUGCUCUGCCGACCUGCUCUCUAGAUGUACAAGAAUGAAAUGUUGAGUGAAGCAGGUAGAUACAGGCAAAAGAGAGACAAAUAAUACAGGACACCAGAUCUGCCUUUUGUGCCGAGACAACAUUCCCCCUAUAUAUGACUGAUUAAGACAGCGCUGCCACAGUCUUCCCCUUCCCCCUUGUACGAACAUUUCCAAGUUCCAGUGACAAGUUUGUUCGGGAGCUAAACCAGCAGAAAAUUAACAUCGCAAAAGUAAACAAAUGGAGGAAGUGAGAAUGCGAGUCUAGGACUGAUAGAGUGGGACUGCCACAGAGCUGAUUUCAAUCAGCUGAACCUGCUGUGGAAUUGAACACUUGGAAUCGCUUCCCUCUGUUAGAUACGUUUAAAAUUGGAUUCAAAUUCACACACAGAGGCAUGAGCUCCCCCAAGCACCGUCUGGCAGUAGUCUGUCCUCUGGUUGCAACAUAAAGGUGUUUGUGUCAGUUCAGGGUAGUAUAUCAGUAACUUCGCUUCAAAGACAGCCACAGAACCAGCCUGUAUCAAGAAUCCCACAGUUACAUGGGAGCUUACAGGAUUGCUGCUGGCAGGGAACUGAGGCAAAAACCAGGCAGCUCAGCUUAAAUGCCAGAUCCAUAAAGGGGGCACCAUCAAAGCUGUAGUUAAAACCCAACAGUUACCCUUCAGCCCUGAACUGAGACCUGAAGACUAACUUCCUUUUGUACCACACUUGAAAUCCCAAAGCCUUUUCAGAAAUAUGGAUACACCCUGAUAAUUUAAAAAAAUAAAUUUUGAAGCCAGGCAAGAGAAUACGCAAAACCACGCCUUGUUUGGCAAGUUAUUUUGCCAAAUACAUCCAUUCAACCCCAUGGAAAAUGGACGAGUAAGGUAAUUGCAGUGGUUGACCUAAGGCCUGGUCCAUACAUACCUGGUGUAUUGCACUCUACUCAGCCUUAGUGAGGCUGCAUCCGGAGUACCGUGUCCAGUUUUGCACUCCUCAGUACAAGAGACACAUGGAGCUUCUGGAGCGGGUCCACGGGGAACUACAAAGAUGAUUAAGGGACUGGAGCAUUUCUCUGCAGGAGCUUCAGCCUUGAGAAGAGAUGACCGAGAGGGGACCUCAUCAAUGUCUAUAAGUAUCUGAAGGGAGAGUGUCAUGAGUAUGGAGCCAGACUCUUUUCAGUGUGCCAAGUAAUAAGACAAGAGAAAACAGAAAAUGAUCCACAGAAACUUCCACCUGAAUAUGAGGAAGAACUUCUUUACUGUGCAGGUGACCACGCACUGUAACAGAUUGCCCAGAGAAGUUGUGGAGUCUUCCUCACUGGAGAUAUUCAAGAACCAUCCUGAUGGAAUUCUGUGCAACGUGCUUGAGGACGACUCUACUUGAAUAGGGAGGUUGGACCGGGUGACCCACUGUGGUCCCUUCCAACCUUACCCAUUCUGGAGUCUGUGACACUAAGAGCCCCUUCUCUAGCUGUAUAAAGGUAUUUAAAGAAGAGUAAAAUAACCAGGACUUCCAUUAUAGGUGCUUUAAAGCCACUUGAAAAUGAGGAAAGACAAUCUAUACACAGGUUAACUCAGUUCAAAAAUUCUUUCAAUUAAACCUUUGUAUAUUUACUGCCAAGGGAUCUCACCAAAACUUUCAGAACUGUGUUCUUACCUUUUGCUAUUAUCCUACUCUGCAGUAAUAUGGAAUCCUAAAGAGGUAUCCUGAAAGGAUAUUCUGGGAUUACAAUACUUACAAUUUUCUGAAUUUUCCCAAAUUUUGAGAUUCCUUUGUCUGAAACUAUUGCUGGAUAUUUCAGAGGGAGUUCCAAAACAAAAGGAGGAGGAUGUCCGUGAACAACACCAGAAUGGGAUAUAAAGCUACAACUGCAAACCAGAAUUUGGUACUUGAGAAAGGAAUGAGUGAAAUGUAAAUCAUUUUAUUUGCAUUUCUAAGCACUCAGAGCAAAGUGUUCAGGGAGUUUUCAGGGAAAGGAUCCAUCCUGCCUUGUAAUCAGGUUAAAGUCAGAUGGCUCUUUUCCAGUGUGGACAAAAAAGGGGAUUUCUUACACCUCCAAAGGGUUUCCUGUGUUCUGUGGGAAGAAGCCUGGCACCAGGCCCCAGCCUCAAAGACCAACUCUGUUGAACAAUCAGUUUUAUAGUGAUCACGUAAGAACUGUAUUUUGCUCCCCUUCAGACACACAGCAGAACAAGCAGUACCACUGCUGUAGGGCAUAGCCUGAUGAUUUCUUCUUUGUCAGCAGUACCAGUAUCAAUAGUUCUUACUCUGCUGUGCAUCUCUGUUCCUGAGCUAUUCCCUGCACUGUGCCAGCACAGCUAUUUGUGCAGCUAUGUAAGGGAAGGGAUCAAGGAACUGGUUCACCCAAGAUUUUUUCUGGAUGUUUUUCAGCCAGAUCAAAUCCCCAGAUAUCUUGGCUGACACAAUGCAAGGGGAACACAAGAACAUGUGUAAUCACAGAUGCUAAAACUUAGCUGAGGGACAGUAACUUGUUAGGAUGUACCAGCUUAGUCACCUGCAAUAACCCGUCCACUCCUUUAAUCUGCUCUAGCAAAUAGAGACAAAUUGGCUGCAGCCUAUAAGGAAGAAACCAGAAUUCAUUAAUGACUUGAAAACUAAUUACAAAUCUCUAGGUCUUAGUAGUUGGGAAAAGAAAAAGACAAAAAGAAAAAAGAGGUCCUACAGUUAUACAAUACACAGUUUCAAAGUUCCUCAGCCAAAGAUCUCACUGCAAAGAUGCAGAAAACAGCAAGCACCAGCAAGCAAAAUUGAAGGUGAUGGUGGGUCAGCAUACCACUGCCUGGGGGUUUCUCACUCAGUAAAUCAGAAGUCAAUCCAGCAGAGUAAUGUUGUUAUAGUGGUGUGAUGUGAUGAAGAAGACAGACUAUGAUUCAUCACUGCCCUACAUAUCAUGUAAGCUUGUACAGCUCUGCAAAAUGUAUGUAAAACACUUUCAAAUCACAACUAUCUCCUUUUCAUUUUGUCCAGAUAAUACAGCGGACUAAAGCAGUGAGGAAUGUGUUUCUGGACACAAAUCUGUGAUGCACCAAUGUUUUUCCUGAACAAACACACAAAAGCACGUCAGCAGUGAUUUUUCAUUUCCUCGAUCUGUGAUGAGAUAAAUCCUCCUCUGUGAGCCUGUGGAGUAACACACUGGAAAUGGAUUUACUCGUAACUUGAGUUCAACAGCUCCUGCUAAACCAGUAAGAAAACCAGAAUAAUGCUUCUGAAAGUGAAAUUAAUCCAAAUUAUUCAGAACUAAUUUUAUUUUUUAAAAUUUCCUUUUACCUAUAUGUGGGGAGAAAUAAAAAAGAAAGCUAUAACAUCAAGGGGAGACGACUCUGGAAAAACAAGGCUGCAGCAACCUUACCUUUCAUUAGGGACUCCCCAGGUUUAAUGGGCUAUCUUGUAAAGAAAAUAAUAAUAAAAAUAAUUUCAAAAUCAA
Pseudopipra pipra is the source of this 3643-nucleotide long non-coding RNA. RefSeq lists it as uncharacterized. The transcript has 2 exons. Lineage: Eukaryota; Metazoa; Chordata; Aves; Passeriformes; Pipridae. The record is from RefSeq and is a predicted model, not a curated record.